CUCCAGAUGUUGCUUAACUACAAUUCUCAUUCUGUGAAUUAAAUAGAUAGCCAGAGAAUCAUGGGAAUUGUAGUUAAGCAAUAUCUGGAG
Molecule: non-coding RNA, 90 nt
Organism: Pelobates cultripes (western spadefoot toad)
Lineage: Eukaryota; Metazoa; Chordata; Amphibia; Anura; Pelobatidae
Source: the annotation of a GenBank genome assembly